GACGAACGCUGGCGGCGUGCUUAACACAUGCAAGUCGAACGGAAAGGCCCUGCUUGCAGGGUGCUCGAGUGGCGAACGGGUGAGUAACACGUGGGUGAUCUGCCCCUUACUUUGGGAUAAGCCUGGGAAACUGGGUCUAAUACUGGAAAGGACCAUGCUGUAGGUGGUGUGGUGGAAAGAUUAGUUUCGGUAAGGGAUGAGCUCGCGGCCUAUCAGCUUGUUGGUGGGGUAAUGGCCUACCAAGGCGUCGACGGGUAGCCGGCCUGAGAGGGUGGACGGCCACAUUGGGACUGAGAUACGGCCCAGACUCCUACGGGAGGCAGCAGUGGGGAAUAUUGCACAAUGGGCGCAAGCCUGAUGCAGCGACGCCGCGUGGGGGAUGACGGCCUUCGGGUUGUAAACUCCUUUCAGCCAUGACGAAGCCCUUGUGGUGACGGUAGUGGUAGAAGAAGCACCGGCUAACUACGU
Molecule: ribosomal RNA, 468 nt
Filed under: uncultured bacterium
Lineage: Bacteria
Description: partial 16S ribosomal RNA
Rfam family: Bacterial small subunit ribosomal RNA
Source: RNAcentral